This 586-nucleotide ribosomal RNA is filed under the name uncultured bacterium. RNAcentral's name for it is "partial 16S ribosomal RNA". It matches the Rfam family "Bacterial small subunit ribosomal RNA", at positions 355 to 1375 of the family's 1533-position model. The record is from RNAcentral.
UGGGGAAUUUUGGACAAUGGGCGAAAGCCUGAUCCAGCAAUGCCGCGUGUGUGAAGAAGGCCUUCGGGUUGUAAAGCACUUUUGUCCGGAAAGAAAUCCUUGGCUCUAAUACAGUCGGGGGAUGACGGUACCGGAAGAAUAAGCACCGGCUAACUACGUGCCAGCAGCCGCGGUAAUACGUAGGGUGCAAGCGUUAAUCGGAAUUACUGGGCGUAAAGCGUGCGCAGGCGGUUUGCUAAGACCGAUGUGAAAUCCCCGGGCUCAACCUGGGAACUGCAUUGGUGACUGGCAGGCUAGAGUAUGGCAGAGGGGGGUAGAAUUCCACGUGUAGCAGUGAAAUGCGUAGAGAUGUGGAGGAAUACCGAUGGCGAAGGCAGCCCCCUGGGCCAAUACUGACGCUCAUGCACGAAAGCGUGGGGAGCAAAGCAGGAUUAGAUACCCUGGUAGUCCACGCCCUAAACGAUGUCAACUAGUUGUUGGGGAUUCAUUUCCUUAGUAACGUAGCUAACGCGUGAAGUUGACCGCCUGGGGAGUACGGUCGCAAGAUUAAAACUCAAAGGAAUUGACGGGGUCAUAGCUGUUUCCU